Molecule: ribosomal RNA, 881 nt
Filed under: Salmonella enterica
Lineage: Bacteria; Pseudomonadati; Pseudomonadota; Gammaproteobacteria; Enterobacterales; Enterobacteriaceae
Description: partial 23S ribosomal RNA
Rfam family: Bacterial large subunit ribosomal RNA
Source: RNAcentral
GGUAAACGGCGGCCGUAACUAUAACGGUCCUAAGGUAGCGAAAUUCCUUGUCGGGUAAGUUCCGACCUGCACGAAUGGCGUAAUGAUGGCCAGGCUGUCUCCACCCGAGACUCAGUGAAAUUGAACUCGCUGUGAAGAUGCAGUGUACCCGCGGCAAGACGGAAAGACCCCGUGAACCUUUACUAUAGCUUGACACUGAACAUUGAGCCUUGAUGUGUAGGAUAGGUGGGAGGCUUUGAAGCGUGGACGCCAGUCUGCGUGGAGCCGACCUUGAAAUACCACCCUUUAAUGUUUGAUGUUCUAACGUGGACCCGUAAUCCGGGUUGCGGACAGUGUCUGGUGGGUAGUUUGACUGGGGCGGUCUCCUCCUAAAGAGUAACGGAGGAGCACGAAGGUUGGCUAAUCCUGGUCGGACAUCAGGAGGUUAGUGCAAUGGCAUAAGCCAGCUUGACUGCGAGCGUGACGGCGCGAGCAGGUGCGAAAGCAGGUCAUAGUGAUCCGGUGGUUCUGAAUGGAAGGGCCAUCGCUCAACGGAUAAAAGGUACUCCGGGGAUAACAGGCUGAUACCGCCCAAGAGUUCAUAUCGACGGCGGUGUUUGGCACCUCGAUGUCGGCUCAUCACAUCCUGGGGCUGAAGUAGGUCCCAAGGGUAUGGCUGUUCGCCAUUUAAAGUGGUACGCGAGCUGGGUUUAGAACGUCGUGAGACAGUUCGGUCCCUAUCUGCCGUGGGCGCUGGAGAACUGAGGGGGGCUGCUCCUAGUACGAGAGGACCGGAGUGGACGCAUCACUGGUGUUCGGGUUGUCAUGCCAAUGGCACUGCCCGGUAGCUAAAUGCGGAAGAGAUAAGUGCUGAAAGCAUCUAAGCACGAAACUUGCCCCGA